Molecule: long non-coding RNA, 934 nt
Organism: Mus musculus (house mouse)
Lineage: Eukaryota; Metazoa; Chordata; Mammalia; Rodentia; Muridae
Product: predicted gene, 38845
Exons: 4
Source: RefSeq, a predicted model, not a curated record
CAGGAGGUGAAGGAGAGUUCAGCUCAGAGCCAGCAUGGGAAGGAUGCAUAACCUAGAUAUUGUGUUGCUCUUCCAUUGAAACAGAGUUUCCUGCAACCCAGGCUAGCCUCAAAGUCACUGAGUAGUGGAGGAAGACCUUGAACUCCUUCCUCCUGCUUCUGCCUCCUGGGUGCCGGGAUUGCAGGUGUCCUUCAACAGACAGAUGAAACAAGCCUACGUGUGGGUCAGCUGGGGAAGACAUCAGGAGCAGGUGCUCUCAGGAAUCUAACCCUGAAUUUCCCAGGGGAAAAUGACACACACACACAGUGACUUCUGUGCUUUGGAGCAGAAACCUUGGCACAGUAAAAACACUACAGUCCCUGGACACUAGUUGACUUUGAUCCACAGCCCUAAAGGCAGAACUCGUCAGAUUUGCUUGAUAUGGUCCUAUGCACGUAGGAAAGUUCAUGUGUGUUCAGAGUCAAGGCUGCGGCGAGGUCAUAAUUCAGCACAGGUGCUCUUCCUGCCUCAAGCCCCCACUGCAAGUCAACACUCAGUCCCAACAGCACUGCCUUCCACAGGGUCCCACCUCAAGCCGACCCGGUUUAGGUCUCAUUGAGAAGUCUUGGAAUUCUAGAGUGGAUAUUGAAGCUAGAAAGACUCAGAAGUUCACACUGGUCAACAACCACCUGUGGUAAAGACUGAGAAUAAGCACUUGGCCUUAGAGAUGGCAGGGCCCAGUCCUGCAUUCCUCCCAGGAUGGCUUAGACUGAUAAAAGAUGGAGACUGAGACGCAGACCUGGAUAUGUGUGGCUGAAGGAGACUAUGUCACCCCAACACUCAGGGAGGGACUGGUGGCCAACUCUAACCAUGGGCUGAGCACUCAACAGAGGAGCCUUUCUUCUCUCUGACCCUCAGUUUCCCCACCUGUAAAAUGAAGAGGUGAAUGGAGAAA